Molecule: ribosomal RNA, 253 nt
Filed under: uncultured bacterium
Lineage: Bacteria
Description: partial 16S ribosomal RNA
Rfam family: Bacterial small subunit ribosomal RNA
Source: RNAcentral
UACGUAGGUGGCAAGCGUUGUCCGGAUUUAUUGGGUUUAAAGGGUGCGUAGGCGGUCUUUUAAGUCAGUGCUGAAAUAUCCCGGCUUAACCGGGAGGGUGGCAUUGAUACUGAAGGACUUGAGUAAAGUUGAGGUAGGCGGAAUUGACGGUGUAGCGGUGAAAUGCUUAGAUAUCGUCAAGAACACCGAUAGUGUAGACAGCUUACUAGGCUUUAACUGACGCUGAGGCACGAAAGUGUGGGGAGCAAACAGG